RNAcentral lists this ribosomal RNA (253 nucleotides) under uncultured prokaryote. RNAcentral's name for it is "partial 16S ribosomal RNA". It matches the Rfam family "Bacterial small subunit ribosomal RNA", at positions 525 to 777 of the family's 1533-position model. The record is from RNAcentral.
ACGUAGGAUGCGAGCGUUGUUCGGAUUUAUUGGGCGUAAAGCGUACGUAGGCGGCUGUCUAAGUCUGGUGUUAAAGCUAGGGGCUCAACCCCUGUGAUGCACUGGAAACUGGGCGGCUUGAGAACGGUAGGGGAAGGUGGAAUUCCGAGUGUAGCGGUGAAAUGCGUAGAUAUUCGGAAGAACACCGGUGGCGAAGGCGACCUUCUGGGCCGUUUCUGACGCUGAGGUACGAAAGCGUGGGGAGCAAACAGGA